GAGAGGGACCCAGCACAAGAACUGCUAAUUCUAGUACCUAGAACUAAACCCCUAGACCUCUUA
This 63-nucleotide transfer RNA is filed under the name Dopasia harti (Hart's glass lizard). RNAcentral's name for it is "tRNA-Ser". Lineage: Eukaryota; Metazoa; Chordata; Lepidosauria; Squamata; Anguidae. The record is from RNAcentral.